AUUGAACGCUGGCGGCAGGCCUAACACAUGCAAGUCGAACGAGUGGCGGACGGGUGAGUAAUGUAUGGGAAACAGACCGCCGGACGGGGAUAAAUACUGGACACGGUAGCUAACACCGCAUCCAACCGGAUGUGCACAGAUGGGAUCAGCUUGUAGGUGAGGUAACGGCUUACCUACGCGACGAUCCCUAGCUGGGCUAAGAGGAUGACCAGCCACACUGGAAGGGAACCACGGUCCAAGCGCCAACGGGAGGCAGCAGUGGGGAAGAUUGCACAAUGGGCGCAAGCCUGUUGCAAACAGUCAGGGUGUAUGAAAAAGGCCUUCGAGUUAUAAAGUACAUUCAUCGGGGAGGCGUUACCCACAGAAUAAGCGACGGCUAACUCCGUGCCAGCAGCCGCGGUAAUAC
Molecule: ribosomal RNA, 406 nt
Filed under: uncultured bacterium
Lineage: Bacteria
Description: partial 16S ribosomal RNA
Rfam family: Bacterial small subunit ribosomal RNA
Source: RNAcentral